UACGUAGGGUGCGAGCGUUAAUCGGAAUUACUGGGCGUAAAGCGUGCGCAGGCGGUUUUGUAAGCCAGAUGUGAAAUCCCCGGGCUUAACCUGGGAAUGGCAUUUGGGACUGCAAGGCUGGAGUGCGGCAGAGGAAAGUGGAAUUCCUGGUGUAGCGGUGAAAUGCGUAGAUAUCAGGAGGAACACCGGUGGCGAAGGCGGCUUUCUGGACGGAUACUGACGCUGAGACGCGAAAGCGUGGGGAGCAAACAGG
RNAcentral lists this ribosomal RNA (253 nucleotides) under uncultured bacterium. RNAcentral describes it as "partial 16S ribosomal RNA". It matches the Rfam family "Bacterial small subunit ribosomal RNA", at positions 524 to 776 of the family's 1533-position model. The record is from RNAcentral.